Molecule: long non-coding RNA, 253 nt
Filed under: Setaria viridis
Lineage: Eukaryota; Viridiplantae; Streptophyta; Magnoliopsida; Poales; Poaceae
Description: long non-coding RNA (SVIR_LNC003487)
Source: RNAcentral
GGAGAAGUAUUGAAUGCUCUAGGAGGUGUUUGUCUCGGGUUAGGUCAGCACCAAAUGAAGGGGGGCUGAGGGGGUAUAAAUACCCGAGCCCCAAAAAACUAGCCAUUACUAUUCUGUUAAGUGGUUGCCGGAACUAUUGACACUGGGUUGGAACUUCUGACCCUGUUCAAAUAAAACAUCUGAGCAACCCCUGUCGAAAGUUACUGGGAACUUCCAGCACUUAUUAUCAGAACUUCUAGCACUAGGUCGGAAC